ACACUAGCGGAGUCGGCAUUCAGAAAUCAACGUUCUAAUAGUUAACAACGUGCUUUGCUAGUGAGUUGAAGUUCUCGUGAAAAUGUACACAAAUCCUUUCAAUCGUAAACACUCUCAAAUCCGACAAGUGAUUGAUCGGUUUCUUCAUCCCGUUGCAAACAACAAUCGCCGUGUAAUGAAAGAAAAAAGUGGACUAAAUUCCUCAAAGUCCUCGCUUUCAUCGACGUCUUCGUUCAGAUUUCCUUUUGGAAGCCUAGAAAAACGUGGAAUAAAGUGAAUGUUGCAGCUGCAGAUAACGUAGCCAUUUGGAUAUGAUUAGAGAGAUAUAUCCGAAAAGGAACUGGGCUCUGCUGAAAAAUGUGCUGCACAUUCAUCUUAAAUUACCAUCGUGAUCACCAAAUGAAGAAACUAGGUUUCAUUACCAUAGCUGCAUCAUUCUGCGGUUAAUAGGAUCACUUAAAGACCUCUAGAUUGAAGAAAAAGCAUAUAUGCGUAUAGAAGUACCUACAAGUUUAAGUGUUAUAUUUAAUCAUCUCAGAAAAUAAAUCUAAACGUAUAAUUUUU
This is a long non-coding RNA of Photinus pyralis (common eastern firefly), 564 nucleotides long. RefSeq lists it as uncharacterized. The transcript is spliced from 2 exons. The record is from RefSeq and is a predicted model, not a curated record. Lineage: Eukaryota; Metazoa; Arthropoda; Insecta; Coleoptera; Lampyridae.